RNAcentral lists this long non-coding RNA (300 nucleotides) under Ananas comosus (pineapple). Its description in RNAcentral is "long non-coding RNA (ACOM_LNC036977)". The record is from RNAcentral. Lineage: Eukaryota; Viridiplantae; Streptophyta; Magnoliopsida; Poales; Bromeliaceae.
CCCUCUCCGGGAUGUUCCAUCAGUUCUUGCAGCAGCAGACCACAGCUGCAGCUCCCCCAGCCCCACCUCCGACGCAGCCUGCCCCGACGACUGCGGACCCUCCGGUGACGCCUGCACCGGCUACCGCUCCGACGGUUACGGCGACUACGGCUGCCGCCACGACACUUCCUUCUGGGGGUACUGAUACCCAUGCAGCUGAGGGCGCCCGCAUUCGGGCGAAGCUGGCGCAUUUCCGGAAGUUCGAUCCGCCGAAGUUUUCCGGAAAGAAGGAUGAUAGUUGGGAGAUCGAGCAGUGGUCUA